GCUUGUCUCAAAGAUUAAGCCAUGCAUGUCUCAGUACAAGCCAAAUUAAGGUGAAACCGCGAAAGGCUCAUUAAAUCAGUUAUGGUUCCUUAGAUCGUACCCACAAUUACUUGGAUAACUGUGGUAAUUCUAGAGCUAAUACAUGCAAACAGAGCUCCGACCGGAGACGGAAGGAGUGCUUUUAUUAGAUCAAAACCAAUCGGUGGCGGGUUCGCUCGUUAUCGUACAACUUGGUGACUCUGAAUAACUUUACGCUGAUCGCACGGUCAUCGCACCGGCGACGCAUCUUUCAAAUGUCUGCCUUAUCAACUGUCGAUGGUAGGUUCUGCGCCUACCAUGGUUGUAACGGGUAACGGGGAAUCAGGGUUCGAUUCCGGAGAGGGAGCCUGAGAAACGGCUACCACAUCCAAGGAAGGCAGCAGGCGCGCAAAUUACCCACUCCCGGCACGGGGAGGUAGUGACAAAAAAUAACGAUACGGGACUCAUCCGAGGCCCCGUAAUCGGAAUGAGUACACUCUAAACCCUUUAACGAGGAUCAAUUGGAGGGCAAGUCUGGUGCCA
RNAcentral lists this ribosomal RNA (561 nucleotides) under Trigonopterus pumilus. RNAcentral describes it as "SSU rRNA". It matches the Rfam family "Eukaryotic small subunit ribosomal RNA", at positions 30 to 569 of the family's 1831-position model. The record is from RNAcentral. Lineage: Eukaryota; Metazoa; Arthropoda; Insecta; Coleoptera; Curculionidae.